GAUGAACGCUGGCGGUGUGCCUAACACAUGCAAGUCGAGCGAACGCACGAUAAGCGUGUGUUCCUGCUGGUAGCGGCUGACGGGCGGGUAAGAAGUGGAUAACCUACUUAUAAUACUGGGAUGAUUUCGGGAAACCGGUUCUACUACUGCAUCAUAUUUCCUACCGGUUAGUUCAAAAGUUCUUCACGGUCUUCCUGUCUCUUAUAGAUGAUUCCGCGCUGCAUUAGCUAGUUGGUAAGGUAACGGCUUACCAAGGCGACGAUGCGUAGCUGACCUGAGAGGAUGAUCGGCCACACUGGAACUGAGACACGGUCCAGACUCCUACGGGAGGCAGCAGUGGGGAAUAUUCGACAAUGGGCGCAAGCCUGAUGGAGCAAUGCCGCGUGAGUGAUGAAGGCCUUCGGGUUGUAAAGCUCUGUUGUUGGGAAAGAACAUCUGUAUGUGAAUCUGUCGAUGUCCUGACGGUACCUAAACAGUAAGCAACGGCUAACUUCGUG
This 497-nucleotide ribosomal RNA is filed under the name uncultured bacterium. RNAcentral's name for it is "partial 16S ribosomal RNA". It matches the Rfam family "Bacterial small subunit ribosomal RNA", at positions 28 to 507 of the family's 1533-position model. The record is from RNAcentral.